This 644-nucleotide long non-coding RNA is filed under the name Capsicum annuum. RNAcentral describes it as "long non-coding RNA (CANN_LNC000285)". Lineage: Eukaryota; Viridiplantae; Streptophyta; Magnoliopsida; Solanales; Solanaceae. The record is from RNAcentral.
UCCACCAUCCACUACGUUCUUGUCCACGCGUGCCUAAAAACUCGUCGUAACAAGUACAAUCACUCAACUUAUCCAAGUGUCGAUCCCUUUAUUCGCUGCAUUAAUACUCGAAAAGACAAGGUAGGCUGAUCAUACACUUGGUCAAAAAGUGUUACUUUUACCCUACAAUGGUCCACGUCAAGGUCCAGAACAACUUCAUGGCUAGAUGUAUAAUCUAAUUGGAUCUUGGAACAUGUUGUUGACACCGGUUCACUGGUCGUUGAGACUAUUUCCAUUGCAUUCGUCCCUCAAUCUUUUCUGAAUGGAAACAUUUCAAGAGUGAGGGAAAUAAAUUUUUCAUUUUUGAUGAAGGAGAGUAAGGGAAAUAAAUGAAUGAUUCGAUGGUGGGUUUUCGGUCUAGCAGCAACAACGAGUCUUAAUAUGAGACUUCUUUGGACAGUAUGAUCGCUAAAAAAAAUUGGUUUUAGAGAUGGAAGAAUCCAUUGCUAAACCACUAAAUUUCGUGACUAAAGCCAUUUAGCGAUGGAAUAUUGUCUGUCGCUAAAAACACUCAUAGAUAACCCUUUAGCAAUGAAUUAUUGACAUUCAUCGCAACCCUUAGAGACAGAUUAGCGACAAACAAUUUUGCUGCUAGUAUAGCAACG